Molecule: long non-coding RNA, 2392 nt
Organism: Myxocyprinus asiaticus (Chinese sucker)
Lineage: Eukaryota; Metazoa; Chordata; Actinopteri; Cypriniformes; Catostomidae
Exons: 3
Source: RefSeq, a predicted model, not a curated record
AUGAUGCCAAUGAUCACGAGCACUACGGAGAGGACCAGUGCCAGGAUGCACAUCUUCUUACGGGACUUUUGCUACAGUGGAGAGAAGGAUAGAGAAUACUGAGCAUCAAAAAAACAACAUGAGAAAGAAAGUCAUACGAGUAUGAGACGGGAUAAGGGUGAAGAACUACACUACCCAUAAUCCUGAAGAAAGCUCCACCAAUCAGAGAACUGCGCCCAUCAAAGUGCACCAAAGAGCUCUGCAGCGACCGUGUUUCCCUAAGGUAUCAAAUUUGUUUUACUGUAAUAUGCAAAUAAUUUAAUAUCUUUCAUUAAAAAUAUAUAAUAUUUUUAUACUUAUAAUUGGCCACUUGAAAACAACAGUUUUAUAUUUGUCCAUUGCUUUUAAUUUAAGUCAUUUGCAAUGCUUCAUGGGAUUGUAGUUCAUGACCUCAUUAAAGACGUCUUGUAUCUUUGUCUUUUUGUCUGACGUUUGCUUCAAAUCUAAGUUUAAGUUGUGAUUCAGCUCGGAGCUAAUUGGUUUGGUUCAUGUCUUAGUACUCAAGUGUAAUCAAAUCAAAUUGCGAAAAUAAAUAUUUUCCAACUCGUUUUGAAAAAACUCUCCCCAGAUAGUCCCAUCCCCCCAACCCUUUGAAACAAAAUACUCUUGUAGCACCCCCUACCCUCUUAGGGGUGUAUUGCCCAAGCUCUGUUAGGGUGGAGCACCGGGUUCAAUUACUUUGUGUCACCUGACUAUAUAUAAAAUCCUACUCUGAUAGCACUAUUAUUAUAUUCCCACAGAAAUAUAAAGAAAAUAGCAAAGACUGAUUUAGAUAGUAAUCCAAAGGAUUUAUUUAAUAAGAGAAUAGGGAAGAUAUAAAAUAAUAAACAAUAUAAUAUUUAGUAUAUAAACAAUAAAUAUAUUUUCACUAUAGGUUAUUAAAAGUUACGUAGUGAAUAUAUUCAAAAUGUGCUUCAAAAAAUACACUUGCACUGAAUUCUUAAGUGCAAAAUACACUGAAUAAACACAUAUGUGUAUCAAUGUAUACACUUUUAUUGGAUACUCAAUAUAAAAUACUCCCUUUAGCUUUUGGACUUUCACAGUAAGUGUAAACUGUGUUUUAUAAACUCUUCUCACUUGUAAGCAAAUUGUGUAUUCACAGUAUAUACUUAACACAUAGUGCAAUUGUAGUGCAACUGACACUGAAUUCAAAGUAUAUUAAUUAACUAGUGAAUAUGAACUACAUUUACAUUUAUGCAUUUGGCAGACGCUUUUAUCCAAAGCGACUUACAGUGCACUUAUUACAGGGACAAUCCCCCUGGAGCAACCUGGAGUUAAGUGCCUUGCUCAAGGACACAAUGGUGGUGGCUGUGGGGAUCGAACCAGCAACCUUCUGAUUACCAGUUCAGUGCUUUAGCCCACUACACUACCACCACUCCAGGCAACCCUUACAUUAGUUUAUAGCCCAAACAUACUCUACGCAAGUAUGUGAACUCAGACGCAAGCUCAAUUUCACGCGUCGAUGUGUUGUGAAAUGUGUCAGUGCUCAAUUCAUAACACAACGCAAGUAUGCGCUGCAUUCUCAGCAUUGCCACAAGGGGCGCUAGAGCGGAUUUUCUUCUUUCAAUCAACAACUGUCAUGGCGGACUCGAGCAGCAAUUUGAGUUGAAACUUUUCGAAAAAUAUAUGCAACUUUUUGUCCCCUGUCCAUUCAAACGAACUUGUUUUUUCUCUGUGUCUCUCCCCACUCCUCAACUAUCGACUCAUCUACCACAUCUAGUUUCGUGGUCAGGCCUAAAAAAUCUAUUGCCCCUUUGUGGUCUGAGGUUUGUAACCGGCAGAGCAACACAAGAGCGCACGUAAUGUAUGUAUAACGGGACCAUGCAUUGGCCAAGCGCUCGCAUCUGCGUUUGCGUACUUGCGUGAAGUAUAUUUCGGUCUUUAGAAACAAAAAAAACUGGCCUCUUCACUCGACUGAGCAAAAUAAAAUAAGGCUAGAGGUACCUGAAUGCUCUUUUUGAAAAAAGCUGAUCUCCUUCUGAAACAGUUCGCGGUCCGUAAAGCACUCACAAACAGAUAAUACCUGACUCACCUAUGUCACGUCGCGACCCCCAUUAUAAUCAGUGAUACUGUCUACACUGUAAGCGUCCGCUGAAGCGCAUCGCUCCGACAAUUUUGCGCUGCACGCACAGGCACACCUACCAGCAAGACAAAUGAACCGCUAACGUUCACUUUGUGCAGACAGCCUCAAGCUGUCCUGGCCCAAAUCGGAUUUUUUUUCAUUCACGUGACACAAAAAAGUUGUAGGCAUGCAGAGGUUUAAAGAGGACUCAGGACGUGUUUAAAUGUACCUGAACAUGUAUUUAUAUAAGUGUGUGUAGACUUCUCUAUAGUGACUGAAGAACUGUGCACA